RNAcentral lists this ribosomal RNA (255 nucleotides) under uncultured bacterium. RNAcentral describes it as "partial 16S ribosomal RNA". It matches the Rfam family "Bacterial small subunit ribosomal RNA", at positions 649 to 902 of the family's 1533-position model. The record is from RNAcentral.
GGGGAGAGGGAAGUGGAAUUCCUGGUGUAGAGGUGAAAUUCGUAGAUAUCAGGAGGAACACCGGUGGCGAAGGCGACUUCCUGGCCCUAUACUGACGCUGAGACGCGAGAGCGUGGGUAGCAAACAGGAUUAGAUACCCUGGUAGUCCACGCCGUAAACGAUGUUCACUAGGUGUUGGGGGUAUUGACCCCCUCAGUGCCGGAGCUAACGCAUUAAGUGAACCGCCUGGGGAGUACGGUCGCAAGACUAAAACUC